Molecule: non-coding RNA, 21 nt
Filed under: Arabidopsis thaliana (thale cress)
Lineage: Eukaryota; Viridiplantae; Streptophyta; Magnoliopsida; Brassicales; Brassicaceae
Source: RNAcentral
UAACUAGUGUUGCUAAUUCGG